GGAGUCUAGCAUGUGCGCGAGUCAUUGGGAAAUGACUAAACCUAAAGGCGCAAUGAAAGUGAAAGUCCGCCUGGCGCGGACUUAGGGAAGAUGGGCGGUCGUUACGUACGCCGCCCCGCAUUCCCGGGGCGUCUCGUUCUCAUUGCGAGAAGAGGCGCACCAAGAGCGUACACGCUGGGACCCGAAAGAUGGUGAACUAUGCCUGGUCAGGACGAAGUCAGGGGAAACCCUGAUGGAGGUCCGUAGCGAUUCUGACGUGCAAAUCGAUCGUCGGAACUGGGUAUAGGGGCGAAAGACUAAUCGAACCAUCUAGUAGCUGGUUCCCUCCGAAGUUUCCCUCAGGAUAGCUGGUGCUCGUUGCGUACGAGUUUCAUCCGGUAAAGCGAAUGAUUAGAGGCAUUGGGGUCGAAACGGCCUCAACCUAUUCUCAAACUUUAAAUGGGUGAGAUCUCCGGCUUGCUCGAACUCAUGAAGCCGAGAGACUCGAAUCAGAGUGCCAAGUGGGCCAUUUUUGGUAAGCAGAACUGGCGCUGUGGGAUGAACCAAACGCCGAGUUAAAGCGCCUAAAUCGACGCUUAUGGGAUACCAUGAAAGGCGUUGGUAACUUAAGACAUCAGGACGGUGGCCAUGGAAGUC
Molecule: ribosomal RNA, 636 nt
Filed under: Neostereopalpus niponicus
Lineage: Eukaryota; Metazoa; Arthropoda; Insecta; Coleoptera; Anthicidae
Description: eukaryotic LSU rRNA
Rfam family: Eukaryotic large subunit ribosomal RNA
Source: RNAcentral